UCGUCUACGGGAUAGUUUCCGCUUGUCGGGAAGUUCUGCUGCUUUGAUCGAGUGGCGGACGAUGACUCACCAUACGUGUCUGCUCCAAGCAGCCACAUCGGACGCGCGCCUUGUGUUCGCUCUGAAAAGUGAUUUCUUCCUCCAUUUAUCGAUUACUCGUGUUGUUCGCGUGAUUCAGUGUUGAGUGUACUUCCGAGGACAAUCCACGACCCCUUCUGUGACAACAAGUGACUGAUGUUAUGCGAGAGCGUGAGCUUUUUGAUAGGUAACUGAAGAGUGCUCAGCCAAUGUCAAAACUUUGGAAGCGGUGGCCCGGGCGGCUUGUUGGCACAGCGAGGAUGACAAACCAGAGUCCUGAUAGGCAGCAAUGGCAGCUGUUCAUGGUCCUGGUACAGAGGACGGGCUACAGUCCACGAUUGGAGCGGUCUUCCUGCAAGCCCUGACAAGCCUUAAUAAGUGGUAGGCAUUUCUUUUUGUUACCAAAGAGUGAUAGUUCGGACACAUAGCACCUAUUGAGGUAUAGCAUACACUGUCUUUUAGCUUAGCUGUGGGAAGCCUAUGUCCUGCACUUCAGUGCAGUAUUCCUUGGACAUGGAACAUGCAUCAUUUGGUUUGUAAUCCUUGAACAUGGAAUGUUGUCGGAGCCAACGUUGCGACACUU
Rhipicephalus microplus (southern cattle tick) is the source of this 661-nucleotide long non-coding RNA. The record is from RefSeq and is a predicted model, not a curated record. NCBI's taxonomy places the organism in Eukaryota, Metazoa, Arthropoda, Arachnida, Ixodida, Ixodidae.